GAUGAACGCUGGCGGCGUGCUUAACACAUGCAAGUCGAGGGGUAACGAGAGGAAAGCUUGCUUUCCUUGUCGACGACCGGCGCACGGGUGAGUAACGCGUAUCCAACCUGCCCCCAACUAGGGAAUAACCUUGCGAAAGUAAGACUAAUACCCUAUAAUUUCCUCAGAUGUCAUCUGACGAGGAAUAAAGAUUUAUCGGUUGUGGAUGGGGAUGCGUCUGAUUAGCUUGUUGGCGGGGUAACGGCACACCAAGGCAACGAUCAGUAGGGGUUCUGAGAGGAAGGUGCGCCAAGUUGGAACUGAGACACGGUACAAACUCCUACGGGAGGCAGCAGUGAGGAAUAUUUGUCAAUGGGCGGAAGUCUGAACCAGCCAAGUAGCGUGCAGGAUGACGGCCCUAUGGGUUGUAAACUGCUUUUAUACAGGAAUAAAGUUAGCCACGUGUGGUUAUUUGUAGGUACUGUAUGAAUAAGGACCGGCUAAUUCCGUGCCAGCCGCCGCGGUAA
Molecule: ribosomal RNA, 506 nt
Filed under: uncultured bacterium
Lineage: Bacteria
Description: partial 16S ribosomal RNA
Rfam family: Bacterial small subunit ribosomal RNA
Source: RNAcentral